This 429-nucleotide ribosomal RNA is filed under the name uncultured bacterium. RNAcentral describes it as "bacterial SSU rRNA". It matches the Rfam family "Bacterial small subunit ribosomal RNA", at positions 355 to 776 of the family's 1533-position model. The record is from RNAcentral.
UGGGGAAUAUUGCACAAUGGGCGAAAGCUUGAUGCAGCGACGCCGCGUGGAGGAUGAAGGUUUUCGGAUUGUAAACUCCUGUUAAGUGGGAAGAAAGACUCAUGGCUAAUAUCCAUGAGGGAUGACGGUACCACUAGAGAAAGCACCGGCAAACUUCGUGCCAGCAGCCGCGGUAAUACGAAGGGUGCGAGCGUUAUUCGGAAUGACUGGGUGUAAAGAGCGUGGAGGCGGCUUAGUAAGUCAGCUGUUAAAUAGCCCAGCUUAACUGGGAAGAUGCGGAUGAUACUAUUAGGCUAGAGUACAAGAGAGAAGAGUGGAAUUCUCGGAGUAGCGGUAAAAUGCGUAGAUCUCGAGAGGAACACCGGUUGCGAAGGCGGCUCUUUGGCUUGUAACUGACGCUUGAGCGCGAAAGCGUGGGGAGCAAACAGG